AUUGAACGCUGGCGGCAUGCCUUACACAUGCAAGUCGAACGGUUACAGGUUAAGCUGACGAGUGGCGAACGGGUGAGUAAUAUAUCGGAACGUGCCCCGUCGUGGGGGAUAACGCAGCGAAAGUUGUGCUAAUUCCGCAUACGAUCUUCGGAUGAAAGCGGGGGAUUGCAAGACCUCGCGCGAUUGGAGCGGCCGAUAUCAGAUUAGGUAGUUGGUGGGGUAAAGGCCUUCCCAACCAACGAUCUGUAGCUGGUUUGAGAGGGCGACCAGCCCCCCUGGAACUGAGACACGGUCCCGACUCCUUCGGGAGGCAGCAGUGGGGAAUUUUGGACAAUGGGGGAAAGCCUGAUCCAGCAAUGCCGCGUGCAGGAUGAAGGCCUUCGGGUUGUAAACUGCUUUUGUACGGAACGAAAAGACCGCCUUUAAUACAGGUGGCCAAUGACGGUAACGGGAGAAUAAGCACCGGCUAACUACGUG
This 477-nucleotide ribosomal RNA is filed under the name uncultured bacterium. RNAcentral describes it as "bacterial SSU rRNA". It matches the Rfam family "Bacterial small subunit ribosomal RNA", at positions 30 to 507 of the family's 1533-position model. The record is from RNAcentral.